Molecule: ribosomal RNA, 169 nt
Filed under: uncultured bacterium
Lineage: Bacteria
Description: partial 16S ribosomal RNA
Rfam family: Bacterial small subunit ribosomal RNA
Source: RNAcentral
CCUACGGGAGGCAGCAGUGGGGAAUAUUGCACAAUGGGGGAAACCCUGAUGCAGCCACGCCGCGUGAGUGAAGAAGUAUUUCGGUAUGUAAAGCUCUAUCAGCAGGGAAGAAAGUGACGGUACCUGAGUAAGAAGCCCCGGCUAACUACGUGCCAGCAGCCGCGGUAAU